GUGCAGCAGGCGAGAAUAGUCUACAAUGGACGAAAGUCUGAUAGUGCGACGCCGUGUGUGCGAUUAAUUCCUUCGGGAUGUAAAGCACUUUUCUAUGAGAUAAAAGCUCUUUAGGUUAAUAGCUUAUUGAGACGGAUAUUAUUAUAGGAAUAAGCUCCGGCUAACUCCGUGCCAGCAGCCGCGGUAAUACGGAAGGAGCGAGCGUUGUCCGGAUUUACUAGGCGUAAAGGGCUAGUAGGCGACUAAUUAAGUUAUAUGUUAAAUCCCACGGCUCAACUGUGGUCCUGCAUGUAAUACUGGUUAGAUAGAGUACUGUAGAGGAAGGCAGAAUUCCUGGAGUAGCGGUGGAAUGCGCAGAUAUCAGGAAGAAUACCAAAAGCGAAGGCAGCCUUCUGGGCAGUUACUGACGCUGAAUAGCGAAGGUGUGGGUAGCGAACAGGAUAGAUACCCGUGUAGU
This 457-nucleotide ribosomal RNA is filed under the name uncultured microorganism. RNAcentral describes it as "bacterial SSU rRNA". It matches the Rfam family "Bacterial small subunit ribosomal RNA", at positions 346 to 794 of the family's 1533-position model. The record is from RNAcentral.